ACUUACUCUUCGGAGUGAGAGCGUACACAGGUGCUGCAUGGCUGUCGUCAGCUCGUGUCGUGAGAUGUUGGGUUAAGUCCCGCAACGAGCGCAACCCUGCAUUCAGUUGCCAUCGGUAAGGCCGGGCACUCUGGAUGGACUGCCGGCGACAAGCCGGAGGAAGGUGGGGACGACGUCAAGUCAUCAUGGCCCUUAUGUCCAGGGCGACACACGUGCUACAAUGGCCGGCACAACGGGAAGCGAAGGGCGACCCUGAGCGGAUCCCACAAAAGCCGGUCUCAGUUCGGAUUGCAGUCUGCAACUCGACUGCAUGAAGUUGGAAUCGCUAGUAAUCGUGGAUCAGCCAAGCCGCGGUGAAUACGUUCCCGGGCCUU
Molecule: ribosomal RNA, 374 nt
Filed under: uncultured Thermovirga sp.
Lineage: Bacteria; Thermotogati; Synergistota; Synergistia; Synergistales; Thermovirgaceae
Description: bacterial SSU rRNA
Rfam family: Bacterial small subunit ribosomal RNA
Source: RNAcentral